This 682-nucleotide ribosomal RNA is filed under the name uncultured Bacilli bacterium. RNAcentral describes it as "bacterial SSU rRNA". It matches the Rfam family "Bacterial small subunit ribosomal RNA", at positions 91 to 757 of the family's 1533-position model. The record is from RNAcentral. Lineage: Bacteria; Bacillati; Bacillota; Bacilli.
GUCAGCGGCGGACGGGUGAGUAACACGUGGGUAACCUGCCUGUAAGACUGGGAUAACUCCGGGAAACCGGGGCUAAUACCGGAUGCUUGAUUGAACCGCAUGGUUCAAUCAUAAAAGGUGGCUUUUAGCUACCACUUGCAGAUGGACCCGCGGCGCAUUAGCUAGUUGGUGAGGUAACGGCUCACCAAGGCGACGAUGCGUAGCCGACCUGAGAGGGUGAUCGGCCACACUGGGACUGAGACACGGCCCAGACUCCUACGGGAGGCAGCAGUAGGGAAUCUUCCGCAAUGGACGAAAGUCUGACGGAGCAACGCCGCGUGAGUGAUGAAGGUUUUCGGAUCGUAAAACUCUGUUGUUAGGGAAGAACAAGUACCGUUCGAAUAGGGCGGUACCUUGACGGUACCUAACCAGAAAGCCACGGCUAACUACGUGCCAGCAGCCGCGGUAAUACGUAGGUGGCAAGCGUUGUCCGGAAUUAUUGGGCGUAAAGCGCGCGCAGGCGGUUUCUUAAGUCUGAUGUGAAAGCCCCCGGCUCAACCGGGGAGGGUCAUUGGAAACUGGGGAACUUGAGUGCAGAAGAGGAGAGUGGAAUUCCACGUGUAGCGGUGAAAUGCGUAGAGAUGUGGAGGAACACCAGUGGCGAAGGCGACUCUCUGGUCUGUAACUGACGCUGAGGCGCGAA